GGGUUGUGAGGUUAAGCGACUAAGCGUACACGGUGGAUGCCCUGGCAGUCAGAGGCGAUGAAGGGCGUGCUAAUCUGCGAUAAGCGCCGGUAAGGUGAUAUGAACCGUUAUAACCGGCGAUACCCGAAUGGGGAAACCCAGUGUGAUUCGUCACACUAUCAUUAACUGAAUCCAUAGGUUAAUGAGGCGAACCGGGGGAACUGAAACAUCUAAGUACCCCGAGGAAAAGAAAUCAACCGAGAUUCCCCCAGUAGCGGCGAGCGAACGGGGAGGAGCCCAGAGCCUGAAUCAGCAUGUGUGUUAGUGGAAGCGUCUGGAAAGUCGCGCGAUACAG
This 334-nucleotide ribosomal RNA is filed under the name Salmonella enterica subsp. enterica serovar Stanley. Its description in RNAcentral is "partial 23S ribosomal RNA". It matches the Rfam family "Bacterial large subunit ribosomal RNA", at positions 1 to 362 of the family's 2925-position model. Lineage: Bacteria; Pseudomonadati; Pseudomonadota; Gammaproteobacteria; Enterobacterales; Enterobacteriaceae. The record is from RNAcentral.